Molecule: ribosomal RNA, 433 nt
Filed under: uncultured bacterium
Lineage: Bacteria
Description: partial 16S ribosomal RNA
Rfam family: Bacterial small subunit ribosomal RNA
Source: RNAcentral
AGCGAACGCUGGCGGCAGGCCUAACACAUGCAAGUCGAACGAACUCUUCGGAGUUAGUGGCGGACGGGUGAGUAACACGUGGGAACGUGCCUUUUGGUUCGGAAUAACUCAGGGAAACUUGUGCUAAUACCGAAUGUGCCCUUCGGGGGAAAGAUUUAUCGCCAUUUGAGCGGCCCGCGUCUGAUUAGCUAGUUGGUGAGGUAACGGCUCACCAAGGCGACGAUCAGUAGCUGGUCUGAGGGGAUGACCAGCCACACUGGGACUGAGACACGGCCCAGACUCCUACGGGAGGCAGCAGUGGGGAAUCUUGCGCAAUGGGCGAAAGCCUGACGCAGACAUGCCGCGUGAAUGAUGAAGGUCUUAGGAUUGUAAAAUUCUUUCACCGGGGACGAUAAUGACGGUACCCGGAGAAGAAGCCCCGGCUAACUUCGUG